AGAGAAAAACCGAGAGACCGGGCAGAGGAAUUUCAGCUAAGAGAGAAACAAAAGUUGAAUGCUCAGGCUCCAUGGAGCAUCCUUGCGUUUCCCGGGGAAAAGCGGAUCCUGGAGUGCGCCUGACCUCUCAGCUCUUGAGGAGAAGGAAAUAGCGGAAGCAGGAGGAAAGCCAGGUCCAGUCUCUUUCCUUAGGCUCCCCGAAGGGCAAGCACUCACCGCCCAAAGAUCUGGCACAGCGUCCUCACCGCAGCACCACCCCCUCCCGACGCCCACGACCACUUCUCUCCAACCCGGCGUUCUCCGGGAUUUCCAAAGACACACGUUUAGAUCCACAGAGCUGGAAGGAAGACAGCUGUUCCUAGAUCACACCAGAAUGGAGAAGCAAGCUCCUCCCACCAGCAGAAAGCCUUUGCUUUCCGUGCCUGGAUUCGGAAGAUUAGUUAAGCACUGAAAAAGUGGGGGGAACAACAACUCGUUUUUGCUUAUUAGAAAGAAAAAAACACAUUAAUGAACCCAAGUAAUACACUCAACUCUGCAACUCUGUAGAUUUCCACCUAUUCCUACCCUCCACAGUCUCCCAUCCCACCAGCAACACACAUGACAUAUCUGAUGCCUUCCCAUCAGUAACUCUGGCUUAGUAUGGGUAAGCAAAAAAUUUCCAACAAUGGAUGAAAAUUGUGGAGAGAUAGAGUGGGAAAGGUCAAGGAACAUUGAUAGGGAUUGUUAAUUAAAAAUCCACCAAACAUCUCUUUUCUCUCCCUAAUGUGUGAGUAACAAUAACAUCACUCAAAGCAGUUGGCAGCCACAGCUUGAAGAAAUACAGUA
Saimiri boliviensis boliviensis (Bolivian squirrel monkey) is the source of this 825-nucleotide long non-coding RNA. RefSeq lists it as uncharacterized. Lineage: Eukaryota; Metazoa; Chordata; Mammalia; Primates; Cebidae. The record is from RefSeq and is a predicted model, not a curated record.